This 1372-nucleotide ribosomal RNA is filed under the name uncultured bacterium. Its description in RNAcentral is "bacterial SSU rRNA". It matches the Rfam family "Bacterial small subunit ribosomal RNA", at positions 28 to 1381 of the family's 1533-position model. The record is from RNAcentral.
GAUGAACGCUGGCGGCGUGCCUAAUACAUGCAAGUCGAGCGAACGGACGAGAAGCUUGCUUUUCUGAUGUUAGCGGCGGACGGGUGAGUAACACGUGGAUAACCUACCUAUAAGACUGGGAUAACUUCGGGAAACCGGAGCUAAUACCGGAUAAUAUUUUGAACCGCAUGGUUCAAAAGUGAAAGACGGUCUUGCUGUCACUUAUAGAUGGAUCCGCGCUGCAUUAGCUAGUUGGUAAGGUAACGGCUUACCAAGGCAACGAUGCAUAGCCGACCUGAGAGGGUGAUCGGCCACACUGGAACUGAGACACGGUCCAGACUCCUACGGGAGGCAGCAGUAGGGAAUCUUCCGCAAUGGGCGAAAGCCUGACGGAGCAACGCCGCGUGAGUGAUGAAGGUCUUCGGAUCGUAAAACUCUGUUAUUAGGGAAGAACAUAUGUGUAAGUAACUGUGCACAUCUUGACGGUACCUAAUCAGAAAGCCACGGCUAACUACGUGCCAGCAGCCGCGGUAAUACGUAGGUGGCAAGCGUUAUCCGGAAUUAUUGGGCGUAAAGCGCGCGUAGGCGGUUUUUUAAGUCUGAUGUGAAAGCCCACGGCUCAACCGUGGAGGGUCAUUGGAAACUGGAAAACUUGAGUGCAGAAGAGGAAAGUGGAAUUCCAUGUGUAGCGGUGAAAUGCGCAGAGAUAUGGAGGAACACCAGUGGCGAAGGCGACUUUCUGGUCUGUAACUGACGCUGAUGUGCGAAAGCGUGGGGAUCAAACAGGAUUAGAUACCCUGGUAGUCCACGCCGUAAACGAUGAGUGCUAAGUGUUAGGGGGUUUCCGCCCCUUAGUGCUGCAGCUAACGCAUUAAGCACUCCGCCUGGGGAGUACGACCGCAAGGUUGAAACUCAAAGGAAUUGACGGGGACCCGCACAAGCGGUGGAGCAUGUGGUUUAAUUCGAAGCAACGCGAAGAACCUUACCAAAUCUUGACAUCCUUUGACAACUCUAGAGAUAGAGCCUUCCCCUUCGGGGGACAAAGUGACAGGUGGUGCAUGGUUGUCGUCAGCUCGUGUCGUGAGAUGUUGGGUUAAGUCCCGCAACGAGCGCAACCCUUAAGCUUAGUUGCCAUCAUUAAGUUGGGCACUCUAAGUUGACUGCCGGUGACAAACCGGAGGAAGGUGGGGAUGACGUCAAAUCAUCAUGCCCCUUAUGAUUUGGGCUACACACGUGCUACAAUGGACAAUACAAAGGGCAGCGAAACCGCGAGGUCAAGCAAAUCCCAUAAAGUUGUUCUCAGUUCGGAUUGUAGUCUGCAACUCGACUACAUGAAGCUGGAAUCGCUAGUAAUCGUAGAUCAGCAUGCUACGGUGAAUACGUUCCCGGGUCU